RNAcentral lists this ribosomal RNA (253 nucleotides) under uncultured bacterium. RNAcentral describes it as "partial 16S ribosomal RNA". It matches the Rfam family "Bacterial small subunit ribosomal RNA", at positions 524 to 776 of the family's 1533-position model. The record is from RNAcentral.
UACGGAGGAUCCGAGCGUUAUCCGGAUUUAUUGGGUUUAAAGGGUGCGUAGGCGGCUUUUUAAGUCAGGGGUGAAAUACGGCAGCUCAACUGUCGCAGUGCCUUUGAUACUGAAGGGCUUGAAUGGUCUCGAAGACGGCGGAAUGGGACAAGUAGCGGUGAAAUGCAUAGAUAUGUCCCAGAACCCCGAUAGCGAAGGCAGCUGUCUAGGGAUCUAUUGACGCUGAUGUACGAAAGCGUGGGUAUCGAACAGG